Molecule: long non-coding RNA, 1183 nt
Filed under: Brachypodium distachyon (stiff brome)
Lineage: Eukaryota; Viridiplantae; Streptophyta; Magnoliopsida; Poales; Poaceae
Description: long non-coding RNA (BDIS_LNC001626)
Source: RNAcentral
CCUCACCACAGCUAUCACACACAGGCAAAACACAGCUGAUUCGUGUACUCGAUCUCCCCAGCAAGUUAAGGCCACCAUGUCGAGCGGCUGCGGCAACUGCGACUGCGCUGACAAGACCCAGUGUGUGUAUGUAGCUAGCUAUAUCUGCUGUCGAUCCAUCACUUCUUUCAUAUACUAUAUAGCAUCGAUCGAUCGAUCAGCUGGUUCUGCUAUAUAUCCAUAUCAUAUGACGGAUCUCCUCCCUCUCUGUGGCUGGGUUACUCCUCUGUUCCUUAAAUAUUGGCACGGAUUUAAAUUAGAGCUAGUUCAAAACCGUGUCAAUUUUAUGAAACGGAAAUCCUGUGUUUAUAACUAGUCUGUGACGGCCAUGCAUGAACCGUGUUAUUUUGUGGUGCGUGCAGGAAGAAGGGAAACGGCUACGGCAUCGUCAUGGUUGACACCGAGAAGAGGUAUACUACUGCUGUGUCCUGCUUCUUCACCUUCGUCGAUAGAUUCGCCACGACAUGCUGCAUGUGUUAUUGAUUAAUACUCGCUACACAAAGCUCACAUUCUGUCCUGAUCGACAUCCUUUUUUUUCUUUCUUUUUUGCGAAUUACUGAUCGACGUCCUGUUCGAUCGUCAUUGUAAAUCCUACUAAUUCCCAAAGAAUGUUCUUCUCACUCUAUACACACACGUCUACAGCCACUUCGAGGUGCAGGAGUCCGCGGCGGAGAACGACGGCAAGUGCAAGUGCGGCACCAGCUGCACCUGCACCAGCUGCACCUGCGGCCACUGAAGCAGCAGCCUCUGAUGCCUCUACCCGUACUACACUACUAGUAACCCCAGCUUAAUUACGCUAACCCACGAGCACACGUGUCUGCUUGAUGCGUGCGCACGUGGCGCGGCGUAAGCUAUGACAAUAAAAAGUGUGCUGUACCUGAUGUGUCUGUGUGUCGAUCUAUGUCUGUCACGUACGUGGUCGUGCAAAAAACCCUGAAAGUUUAAUUGGCUGGUUAAUUUGUGCAUAGGGAAAUUAACAGUUGGAAAGGGCGAUCGGUCUUGAUCCCUCUGUGUUUCCCGUGUAACGGCUACUGAUCCAGUGGUUAAGCUUCGGGUUGUAUGUGAGUCCGUACGUGUUUGCAUGGAAUGAAAUUUAUCGUGUGGUCUUACUAUCUAUACUGGCGGAACGUCUCUUGGCUCCCUC